UACAUCUUUGUGUUUGCUUUGCUAUUUUCUUCUUUCUUCUUCCUUUGAUUUGAUAAUCCGCUGCGGUGCUCAAGUGUUUUACCCUAUUGAUACCAGGGGUAAUCUUUUGCCCUUCGUAGCGGAGCGAAGAGGUGAUCCUUGAGUCCGGUGUCGAGAGAGCGAGAGAGUGCUUAUCCGUUUAUUCUCUCUUUGCUUGUCCGACGUUGGUGGUGGUGCCGGUGUGAGUGUGGGUUCCGGCACAGUCGCUGCCCCCAACAAGUGGUAUCAGAGCUAUUGGUAUUCUGCGAUGGCGGAUGAAGGGAAGUUGCGAAUUGAGAAGUUCAAUGGCACGAACUUCGGAUUUUGGAAGAUGCAAAUAGAGGAUUACCUUUACCAGAAGGAUCUCUAUUUACCUCUUGGAGGC
Molecule: long non-coding RNA, 403 nt
Filed under: Phoenix dactylifera (date palm)
Lineage: Eukaryota; Viridiplantae; Streptophyta; Magnoliopsida; Arecales; Arecaceae
Description: long non-coding RNA (PDAC_LNC017007)
Source: RNAcentral